RNAcentral lists this ribosomal RNA (460 nucleotides) under uncultured bacterium. RNAcentral's name for it is "partial 16S ribosomal RNA". It matches the Rfam family "Bacterial small subunit ribosomal RNA", at positions 338 to 795 of the family's 1533-position model. The record is from RNAcentral.
CCUACGGGAGGCAGCAGUGAGGAAUAUUGGUCAAUGGGCGCAAGCCUGAACCAGCCAAGUAGCGUGAGGGAUGAAGGUUCUAUGGAUUGUAAACUUCUUUUAUAAGGGGAUAAAGUGCGGGACGUGUCAUAUUUUGUAUGUACCUUAUGAAUAAGGAUCGGCUAAUUCCGUGCCAGCAGCCGCGGUAAUACGGAGGGUCCGAGCGUUAUCCGGAUUUAUUGGGUUUAGCGGGUGCGUAGGCAGCCUUUUAAGUCAGCGGGGAAAGUCUGUGGCUCAACCAUCGCAGUGCCGUGGAAACUGGGUGGCUUGAGUAUGUUUGAGGCAGGCGGAAUGCGUGGUGUAGCGGUGAAAUGCUUAGAUAUCACGCAGAACCCCGAUUGCGAAGGCAGCCUGCCAAGCCAUGACUGACGCUGAUGCACGAAAGCGUGGGGAUCAAACAGGAUUAGAUACCCGGGUAGUC